This is a long non-coding RNA of Sarcophilus harrisii (Tasmanian devil), 1495 nucleotides long. RefSeq lists it as uncharacterized. Lineage: Eukaryota; Metazoa; Chordata; Mammalia; Dasyuromorphia; Dasyuridae. The record is from RefSeq and is a predicted model, not a curated record. The transcript has 2 exons.
UCGGGUCUCUGCUUGCAGGUUCUGCACUAAAAAUUUUCUUUUUUGUUUGUUUUGUUUUGUUUUAAUUAGGGCUUAUUUGAAAACCUAAAAAGUCCUCGCUGUCCUCGUUUUGCUCCUUUCUUUCCUCUUUACUUUCUUCCUUCUUCCUCUUUUUGUAAAAGAAGUAAAGGGAGGAUUUUAAAGUUUAGACGCCUUCAAGAGCUUUUUAAGUCUUAGAAGCAAGGAGAGGGGAAAAAGCAAUAGGAACCCAGGAAAGUUUUUAAUUAGAUCUCAUUUUAAAACCUAAAAAGUUGUAGUCCUCACUUUGCUGUUUUUUCCCCUUUCACGUCCUCCUUCCCUUUUUUAAAAGUAUUUUUAAAGUUUAGACGCCUUCAAGAGCUUCUUGGAGGCAGCGCCUUAGGGCGCAUGAAGUGCUUGGGGGGGGGGGGUAGAGGGUUGGGGAGGAUUGAACACUGGCAAGUUUUUCUUUUUCUUUUUUCUUUUUUUUUUUUUUUUUUUUUUUCCGGCUCUUGAGAAUUACUCUGCGGCCGCUGGGGCCCGGGGCGGAUGGCAGGAUUCUCGUCCGCAUGCCUCUGCACUCCAGCCGCCAGGUUUUAUGGGAUCCCUCGCGCUCUUGGGGAGCUUGCAAGAAAAACGACCACCCCUCUAGGUUUUUUGCCUCCAGCAACUACAUUUUUUUUUCUUCUUCUUUCUCCUCUCUUUUAACGGACUGAGUAAUUUCUUUUCACUUUCUCCUUUUCUCCCCUGAACGGACUUCUAGAAAAGACAAUCUAAAUCCUUCACUAAGCCCUAUUUAGCAGACCCCCCCCCCAAACUUCCACAGCAGUCCAUUACCAACCCUCCUUCCUUUUCCCCUUGGUCUCGCCCCCCCCCAACCUGAAGAUAAAUUGUUAUCUUUAAAACUGAGUUUGGGGAAAGGAGGGAGAGGGCAUUCCCUCCCUAAUCCACAGUUCUUGAGAUACCCUCCCACCCCCAGCCACUCAGCCCCAUUGAAUGUAACAACAGAUGGCUUUUCGGUCCCUUCAAGGUUUGAUUUCACUCUGGGUGUUUUCUCUUCUACUCUGUUUUGGCGGGACAGGAAGAGCACGGGGCUCUCAGGCCGAAACUUGUUCUUUUUAAAGAUCAAAAAAAAAAAAAAAAAAAAUCCACUCGCCUCGAAAAGAAGAAAAGGGUUUUUAAAAAGCACCAUGUUUGCCUGACACAUAGUAGGCACUUGUCAGUUAACUGACUGAUGGGUCUCGUUUUGCUUCCCCCGCCCUGGCAAGUUUUGGAAUGGAAGAUAAAGACCGAAACAACCGUCUCUGGGGUGUUUUUCUCCUCCGUUUCCAUAAGCCCUUUGCCAUCUUGUUACAGUAAAGCCCUUCAACCCGAAUCAGAAGUUUAUUCCACAACACUUUUUAACUGCUCAAUCUUAUUAUGAAAUCCAGUAUGUGUUUGUGUGUGCCUAAGUGCAUUUUCCAUUGCGAUGUAAUUAGGUCACCCCAUUAUAAGCACG